CAGUCGCCGCGGUAAUACGAAGGGGGCUAGCGUUGUUCGGAAUUACUGGGCGUAAAGCGCGCGUAGGUGGCCAUUUAAGUCCGCUGUGAAAGUCAAAGGCUCAACCUUUGAAAGCCGGUGGAUACUGGAUGGCUAGAGUACGGAAGAGGCGAGUGGAAUUCCUGGUGUAGCGGUGGAAUGCGCAGAUAUCAGGAGGAACACCAAUAGCGAAGGCAGCUCGCUGGGACGUUACUGACACUGAGGCGCGAAAGCGUGGGGAGCGAACAGGAUUAGAUACCCGGGUAGUCCCUGUCUCUUAUAC
RNAcentral lists this ribosomal RNA (301 nucleotides) under uncultured bacterium. RNAcentral describes it as "partial 16S ribosomal RNA". It matches the Rfam family "Bacterial small subunit ribosomal RNA", at positions 509 to 807 of the family's 1533-position model. The record is from RNAcentral.